Molecule: ribosomal RNA, 318 nt
Filed under: uncultured Pseudomonas sp.
Lineage: Bacteria; Pseudomonadati; Pseudomonadota; Gammaproteobacteria; Pseudomonadales; Pseudomonadaceae
Description: bacterial SSU rRNA
Rfam family: Bacterial small subunit ribosomal RNA
Source: RNAcentral
GUGUCGUGAGAUGUUGGGUUAAGUCCGUAACGAGCGCAACCCUGUCCUUAGUUACCAGCACGUUAUGGUGGGCACUCUAAGGAGACUGCCGGUGACAACCGGAGGAAGGUGGGGAUGACGUCAAGUCAUCAUGGCCCUUACGGCCUGGGCUACACACGUGCUACAAUGGUCGGUACAAAGGGUUGCCAAGCCGCGAGGUGGAGCUAAUCCCAUAAAACCGAUCGUAGUCCGGAUCGCAGUCUGCAACUCGACUGCGUGAAGUCGGAAUCGCUAGUAAUCGUGAAUCAGAAUGUCACGGUGAAUACGUUCCCGGGCCUU